UUGAAAAGAACUCUGAAUAGAGAGUUAAACAGUACGUGAAACUGCUUAGAGGUUAAGCCCGAUGAACCUGAAUAUCCGUUAUGGAAAAUUCAUCAUUAAAAUUGUAAUAUUUAAAUAAUAUUAUGAGAAUAGUGUGCAUUUUUUCCAUAUAAGGACAUUGUAAUCUAUUAGCAUAUACCAAAUUUAUCAUAAAAUAUAACUUAUAGUUUAUUCCAAUUAAUUGCUUGCAUUUUAACACAGAAUAAAUGUUAUUAAUUUGAUAAAGUGCUGAUAGAUUUAUAUGAUUACAGUGCGUUAAUUUUUCGGAAUUAUAUAAUGGCAUAAUUAUCAUUGAUUUUUGGUGUUUAUUAUAUGCACUUGUAUGAUUAACAAUGCGAAAGAUUCAGGAUACCUUCGGGACCCGUCUUGAAACACGGACCAAGGAGUCUAACAUAUGUGCAAGUUAUUGGGAUAUAAACCUAAUAGCGUAAUUAACUUGACUAAUAAUGGGAUUAGUUUUUUAGCUAUUUAUAGCUAAUUAACACAAUCCCGGGCGUUCUAUAUAGUUAUGUAUAAUGUAUAUUUAUAUUAUUUAUGCCUCUAACUGGAACGUACCUUGAGCAUAUAUGCUGUGACCCGAAAGAUGGUGAACUAUACUUGAUCAGGUUGAAGUCAGGGGAAACCCUGAUGGAAGACCGAAACAGUUCUGACGUGCAAAUCGAUUGUCAGAAUUGAGUAUAGGGGCGAAAGACCAAUCGAACCAUCUAGUAGCUGGUUCUUCCGAAGUUUCCCUCAGGAUAGCUGGUGCAUUUUAAUAUUAUAUAAAAUAAUCUUAUCUGGUAAAGCGAAUGAUUAGAGGCCUUAGGGUCGAAACGAUCUUAACCUAUUCUCAAACUUUAAAUGGGUAAGAACCUUAACUUUCUUGAUAUGAAGUUCAAGGUUAUGAUAUAAUGUGCCCAGUGGGCCACUUUUGGUAAGCAGAACUGGCGCUGUGGGAUGAACCAAACGUAAUGUUACGGUGCCCAAAUUAACAACUCAUGCAGAUACCAUGAAAGGCGUUGGUUGCUUAAAACAGCAGGACGGUGAUCAUGGAAGUCGAAAUCCGCUAAGGAGUGUGUAACAACUCACCUGCCGAAGCAACUAGCCCUUAAAAUGGAUGGCGCUUAAGUUGUAUACCUAUACAUUACCGCUAAAGUAGAUGAUUUAUAUUACUUGUGAUAUAAAUUUUGAAACUUUAGUGAGUAGGAAGGUACAAUGGUAUGCGUAGAAGUGUUUGGCGUAAGCCUGCAUGGAGCUGCCAUUGGUACAGAUCUUGGUGGUAGUAGCAAAUAAUCGAAUGAGACCUUGGAGGACUGAAGUGGAGAAGGGUUUCGUGUGAACAGUGGUUGAUCACGAGUUAGUCGGUCCUAAGUUCAAGGCGAAAGCCGAAAAUUUUCAAGUAAAACAAAAAUGCCUAACUAUAUAAACAAAGCGAAUUAUAAUACACUUGAAUAAUUUUGAACGAAAGGGAAUACGGUUCCAAUUCCGUAACCUGUUGAGUAUCCGUUUGUUAUUAAAUAUGGGCCUCGUGCUCAUCCUGGCAACAGGAACGACCAUAAAGAAGCCGUCGAGAGAUAUCGGAAGAGUUUUCUUUUCUGUUUUAUAGCCGUACUACCAUGGAAGUCUUUCGCAGAGAGAUAUGGUAGAUGGGCUAGAAGAGCAUGACAUAUACUGUUGUGUCGAUAUUUUCUCCUCGGACCUUGAAAAUUUAUGGUGGGGACACGCAAACUUCUCAACAGGCCCGUACCAAUAUCCGCAGCUGGUCUCCAAGGUGAAGAGUCUCUAGUCGAUAGAAUAAUGUAGGUAAGGGAAGUCGGCAAAUUAGAUCCGUAACUUCGGGAUAAGGAUUGGCUCUGAAGAUUGAGAUAGUCGGGCUUGAUUGGGAAACAAUAACAUGGUUUAUGUGCUCGUUCUGGGUAAAUAGAGUUUCUAGCAUUUAUGUUAGUUACUUGUUCCCCGGAUAGUUUAGUUACGUAGCCAAUUGUGGAACUUUCUUGCUAAAAUUUUUAAGAAUACUAUUUGGGUUAAACCAAUUAGUUCUUAUUAAUUAUAACGAUUAUCAAUUAACAAUCAAUUCAGAACUGGCACGGACUUGGGGAAUCCGACUGUCUAAUUAAAACAAAGCAUUGUGAUGGCCCUAGCGGGUGUUGACACAAUGUGAUUUCUGCCCAGUGCUCUGAAUGUCAAAGUGAAGAAAUUCAAGUAAGCGCGGGUCAACGGCGGGAGUAACUAUGACUCUCUUAAGGGGAUCAUGGGUAUUUGAGAGCAGAGGGGGAGUAUUCUUCUGUAAUUCGUAAGUCAUAUCAUAUGGUGUGCGGAAGGGGAAUUUUACUCUGUAACUCACAAGUCUCUCCUUUACUCAAGUCGACUCAAAACCUCCUCGUGGUGGUCCCCGGUAAUGCUAAACUCGUUUAGCAGCUAAUUUGAGCGGCAAAACUUUUCCGAUGGGCUGGUUCCCCAGAGGAAAUUUAUUCAUAUUGGAACUACAAGCACAAAUAACGAGCCUCGGAUACCUUUACACAAUCUGAUGACGACCCGACCCUCCGUGGAUAUCUUCCCGGAGGACCAAUAUGAACCAAACGCAGCGGCUACUCUAUCUAGGGUUCCCUGCACAGUAUGUGGCCGGUCCUUUAACAGCAAGAGAGGACUCGGUGUUCACAUGCGAUCUCGGCACCCAGACGAACUUGAUGAAGAACGUCGACGUGUCGAUAUAAAGGCAAGAUGGAGUGAUGAAGAGAAGUGGAUGAUGGCGAGAAAGGAGGUUGAGCUCACAGCAAAUGGAUGUAAACACAUAAACAAGCAACUAGCGGUGUAUUUUGCAAACCGCAGCGUCGAAGCCAUCAAA
Molecule: ribosomal RNA, 2863 nt
Filed under: Drosophila melanogaster (fruit fly)
Lineage: Eukaryota; Metazoa; Arthropoda; Insecta; Diptera; Drosophilidae
Description: eukaryotic LSU rRNA
Rfam family: Eukaryotic large subunit ribosomal RNA
Source: RNAcentral